Molecule: ribosomal RNA, 740 nt
Filed under: Lactiplantibacillus plantarum
Lineage: Bacteria; Bacillati; Bacillota; Bacilli; Lactobacillales; Lactobacillaceae
Description: bacterial SSU rRNA
Rfam family: Bacterial small subunit ribosomal RNA
Source: RNAcentral
AAGGUGUUUGUUUUGUUCAGUUACUGCUGCGGGGUCUUGAAAAGUAUGGGUAGCAAACAGGAUUAGAUAUCCUGGUAGUCCAUACCGUAAACGAUGAAUGUUAAGUGUGGGAGGGUUUCCGCCCUUCAGUGCUGCAGCUUACGCAUUAAGCAUUCCGCCUGGGGAGUACGGCCGCAAGGGUGAAACUCAAAGGUAUUGGCGUGGGCCCGCACAAGCGGUGGAGCAUGUGGUUUAAUUUGAAGCUACGCGAAGAACCUUACCAGGUCUUGACAUACUAUGCAAAUCUAAGAGAUUAGACGUUCCCUUCGGGGACAUGGAUACAGGUGGUGCAUGGUUGUCGUCAGCUCGUGUCGUGAGAUGUUGGGUUAAGUCCCGCAACGAGCGCAACCCUUAUUAUCAGUUGCCAGCAUUAAGUUGGGCACUCUGGUGAGACUGCCGGUGACAAACCGGAGGAAGGUGGGGAUGACGUCAAAUCAUCAUGCCCCUUAUGACCUGGGCUACACACGUGCUACAAUGGAUGGUACAACGAGUUGCGAACUCGCGAGAGUAAGCUAAUCUCUUAAAGCCAUUCUCAGUUCGGAUUGUAGGCUGCAACUCGCCUACAUGAAGUCGGAAUCGCUAGUAAUCGCGGAUCAGCAUGCCGCGGUGAAUACGUUCCCGGGCCUUGUACACACCGCCCGUCACACCAUGAGAGUUUGUAACACCCAAAGUCGGUGGGGUAACCUUUAGGAACCAGCCGC